GACGAACGCUAGCGGCGUGCUUAACACAUGCAAGUCGAACGGUAAGGCCCUUCGGGGUACACGAGUGGCGAACGGGUGAGUAACACGUGGGUGAUCUGCCCUGCACUUCGGGAUAAGCCUGGGAAACUGGGUCUAAUACCGGAUAGGACUCCGGACUGCAUGGUCUGGGGUGGAAAGCUUUUGCGGUGUGGGAUGGGCCCGCGGCCUAUCAGCUUGUUGGGGGGGUGAUGGCCUACCAAGGCGACGACGGGUAGCCGGCCUGGGAGGGUGACCGGCCACACUGGGACUGAGAUACGGCCCAGACUCCUACGGGAGGCAGCAGUGGGGAAUAUUGCACAAUGGGCGCAAGCCUGAUGCAGCGACGCCGCGUGAGGGAUGACGGCCUUCGGGUUGUAAACCUCUUUCAGCAUCGACGAAGCGAAAGUGACGGUAGGUGCAGAAGAAGGACCGGCCAACUACGUGCCAGCAGCCGCGGUAA
RNAcentral lists this ribosomal RNA (478 nucleotides) under uncultured bacterium. Its description in RNAcentral is "partial 16S ribosomal RNA". It matches the Rfam family "Bacterial small subunit ribosomal RNA", at positions 28 to 523 of the family's 1533-position model. The record is from RNAcentral.